UGAAGCCGCUUCGGUGGUGGAUUAGUGGCGAACGGGUGAGUAACACGUGGGCAAUCUGCCCUGCACUCUGGGACAAGCCCUGGAAACGGGGUCUAAUACCGGAUAUGACUACUGAUCGCAUGGUUGGUGGUGGAAAGCUCCGGCGGUGCAGGAUGAGCCCGCGGCCUAUCAGCUUGUUGGUGGGGUGAUGGCCUACCAAGGCGACGACGGGUAGCCGGCCUGAGAGGGCGACCGGCCACACUGGGACUGAGACACGGCCCAGACUCCUACGGGAGGCAGCAGUGGGGAAUAUUGCACAAUGGGCGAAAGCCUGAUGCAGCGACGCCGCGUGAGGGAUGACGGCCUUCGGGUUGUAAACCUCUUUCAGCAGGGAAGAAGCGAGAGUGACGGUACCUGCAGAAGAAGCGCCGGCUAACUACGUGCCAGCAGCCGCGGUAAUACGUAGGGCGCGAGCGUUGUCCGGAAUUUUGGGGCGUAAUGAGCUCGUAGGCGGCUUGUCGCUUCGGAUGUGAAUGCCCGGGGCUUAACCCCGGGUCUGCAUUCGAUACGGGCAGGCUAGAGUUCGG
Molecule: ribosomal RNA, 566 nt
Filed under: Burkholderia pseudomallei
Lineage: Bacteria; Pseudomonadati; Pseudomonadota; Betaproteobacteria; Burkholderiales; Burkholderiaceae
Description: bacterial SSU rRNA
Rfam family: Bacterial small subunit ribosomal RNA
Source: RNAcentral